AUUGAACGCUGGCGGCAGGCCUAACACAUGCAAGUCGAGCGGCAGCGGGAAAGUAGCUUGCUACUUUUGCCGGCGAGCGGCGGACGGGUGAGUAAUGCCUGGGGAUCUGCCCAGUCGAGGGGGAUAACUACUGGAAACGGUAGCUAAUACCGCAUACGCCCUACGGGGGAAAGCAGGGGACCUUCGGGCCUUGCACGAUUGGAUGAACCCAGGUGGGAUUAGCUCGGUGGUGAGGUAACGGCUCACCAAGGCGACGAUCCCUAGCUGGUCUGAGAGGAUGAUCAGCCACACUGGAACUGAGACACGGUCCAGACUCCUACGGGAGGCAGCAGUGGGGAAUAUUGCACAAUGGGGGAAACCCUGAUGCAGCCAUGCCGCGUGUGUGAAGAAGGCCUUCGGGUUGUAAAGCACUUUCAGCGAGGAGGAAAGGUCAGUAGCUAAUAUCUGCUGGCUGUGACGUUACUCGCAGAAGAAGCACCGGCUAACUCCGUGCCAGCAGCCGCAGUAA
RNAcentral lists this ribosomal RNA (508 nucleotides) under uncultured bacterium. Its description in RNAcentral is "partial 16S ribosomal RNA". It matches the Rfam family "Bacterial small subunit ribosomal RNA", at positions 29 to 523 of the family's 1533-position model. The record is from RNAcentral.